GCCAGGAGAGCAUGGGCGGUUCAUGCACUCGACUUGUAAUCGAGACUUCGUGGGUUCAAAUCCCACUCCUGGCU
Haloferax mediterranei ATCC 33500 is the source of this 74-nucleotide non-coding RNA. The record is from Rfam. Lineage: Archaea; Methanobacteriati; Methanobacteriota; Halobacteria; Halobacteriales; Haloferacaceae.